This is a long non-coding RNA of Gopherus flavomarginatus (Mexican gopher tortoise), 257 nucleotides long. RefSeq lists it as uncharacterized. NCBI's taxonomy places the organism in Eukaryota, Metazoa, Chordata, Testudines, Testudinidae. The record is from RefSeq and is a predicted model, not a curated record. The transcript has 3 exons.
GCACUCAGAAGAUGUGGAACCUCCCUGAAGUACAGAUGAGCUGCACAAUUCUCCAUGGAAACAUGAGGAUGUGUGACAUAAGGCCACGUAGGUACUGCUGUUCUAUCCAGAGUGCACUGAAGGAGCCUGAUGAAGGUUAAUAAUUAUAGCCCAGUGAUUGAUUUCGCCUUUCCAGUUUACCAAUUCCUCAUAAAGACACAGUAAUGCUUACAGAGGAGCAAUGCAUAGUGAUCAAAAAUCAUAAAUCAGAGGUAUGA